AUCACAAAAUCCUCAAUCCAUUCCAAAUGUUUCGUUCCUCUGUUGUUCUUCAAUCCAUUCGAUGAUGACGCGCAUUUCUUUAUUGAGCUUCGAUCUCAAUCUCUGCUCGCUAAUGAGCUUCGAUUUUUUCUUCUCGUGAAUGUGCUUCGAUCUUCUCUGCUCGUCAAUGUGCUUCGAUCCUCUGCUCCUCUCCUCGUUGAGCUUCGAUUCUCUACUCGUUGAGAUUCGAUCAUCUGCUUGUUGAGCUUCAAUCCUCUACUUCUCUUUUUGUCGAGCUUCAAUCCUCUCUGCUCGCGUUCAUCACCGCCAGUCGCUGUUCGAUUAUCACUGCUCGUGGUUUUGGUGAGAUUCUCGUUUUUGGCAUUCUUCUGCAGGCUGCUUUUUUGUUAGCUUUGGUUGGAUCAGAGGUUGCAUAUUCUGCUGCACAAGCUACAGUGGCAACUCUCUCGGAGGCUUACAAAACAACUAAAAAUCAUCGAUCAUUCCCAAGAAACACAUCACUACAAGGAGAUUGAUAAAAAAAUAUUUACGGAUCUUUGAUGAACACUAAGUGCAAAUUGUGCAUAUAUAGCAAAUUGUUGCGGCAUGACUUCGUAAGAUAUUUCUAUCUUAUAC
This is a non-coding RNA of Arachis ipaensis, 615 nucleotides long. NCBI's taxonomy places the organism in Eukaryota, Viridiplantae, Streptophyta, Magnoliopsida, Fabales, Fabaceae. The record is from RefSeq and is a predicted model, not a curated record.